This 73-nucleotide transfer RNA is filed under the name Brachybacterium conglomeratum. RNAcentral's name for it is "tRNA-Lys". It matches the Rfam family "tRNA". Rfam says of the family: Transfer RNA (tRNA) molecules are approximately 80 nucleotides in length. Their secondary structure includes four short double-helical elements and three loops (D, anti-codon, and T loops). Further hydrogen bonds mediate the characteristic L-shaped molecular structure. tRNAs have two regions of fundamental functional importance: the anti-codon, which is responsible for specific mRNA codon recognition, and the 3' end, to which the tRNAs corresponding amino acid is attached (by aminoacyl-tRNA synthetases). tRNAs cope with the degeneracy of the genetic code in two manners: having more than one tRNA (with a specific anti-codon) for a particular amino acid; and 'wobble' base-pairing, i.e. permitting non-standard base-pairing at the 3rd anti-codon position. RNAcentral also lists the same sequence under 14 other names. Lineage: Bacteria; Bacillati; Actinomycetota; Actinomycetes; Micrococcales; Dermabacteraceae. The record is from RNAcentral.
GGGCCUGUAGCUCAGUCGGCAGAGCAUCGGACUUUUAAUCCGCGGGUCGAGGGUUCGAUCCCCUCCGGGCCCA